GGUGGCUCAGUGGUAGAGUGUUUGCCUCGCAUGCAAGAAGUCUUGGGUUCGAUUCCUCAGCACCA
Molecule: non-coding RNA, 65 nt
Organism: Dipodomys ordii (Ord's kangaroo rat)
Lineage: Eukaryota; Metazoa; Chordata; Mammalia; Rodentia; Heteromyidae
Source: Rfam